CUGGCUCAGGAUGAACGCUGGCGGCGUGCUUAACACAUGCAAGUCGAACGGAGUAUAGACGCUGCAGAGAUUUCGGUCGAAGCUUGUUAUACUUAGUGGCGGACGGGUGAGUAACGCGUGGGUAACCUGCCGUAUGCAGGGGGACAACAGUUGGAAACGACUGCUAAUACCGCAUAAGCGCACGGUAUCGCAUGAUACAGUGUGAAAAGAUUUAUCGGCAUACGAUGGACCCGCGUUUGAUUAGAUAGUUGGUGAGGUAACGGCUCACCAAGUCGACGAUCAAUAUCCGGCCUGAGAGGGCAAUCGGCCACAUUGGGACUGAGACACGGCCCAAACUCUUACGGGAGGCAGCAGUGGGGAAUAUUGCACAAUGGGGGAAACCCUGAUGCAAGCGACGCCGCGUGAGUGAAGAAGUAUUUCGGUAUGUAAAGCUCUAUCAGCAGGGAAGAUAGUGACGGUACCUGACUAAGAAGCCCCGGCUAACUACGUGCCAGCAGCCGC
This 501-nucleotide ribosomal RNA is filed under the name uncultured bacterium. RNAcentral describes it as "bacterial SSU rRNA". It matches the Rfam family "Bacterial small subunit ribosomal RNA", at positions 19 to 518 of the family's 1533-position model. The record is from RNAcentral.